GCCAGCAUGGUGCAGUGGUUUGAGCAUUGGACUAUGACUCUGGAGACCAGGGUUCAAUUCCCCGCUUAGCCA
Phrynosoma platyrhinos (Desert horned lizard) is the source of this 72-nucleotide non-coding RNA. Lineage: Eukaryota; Metazoa; Chordata; Lepidosauria; Squamata; Phrynosomatidae. The record is from the annotation of a GenBank genome assembly.